This 4885-nucleotide long non-coding RNA is filed under the name Sus scrofa (pig). RNAcentral's name for it is "lncRNA (ENSSSCG00040011631.1)". The record is from RNAcentral. Lineage: Eukaryota; Metazoa; Chordata; Mammalia; Artiodactyla; Suidae.
AUUGAAAAUUAACAGCAGUAUUCUUUGACCUCAGCCUUUAUAGCCAAACUGCUAAUCUUCAGUAAAUAUAGGAUUGUAUUACUAAUCUAUUGACAUUUAGCACAAAUUAGCUAUUAAACAGGCUAGUUGUUACAGUUAAACUUUUUUUUUUUUAAGCCAAGGGAACCUCUCAACAACAUUUUCUUUUUUGGUCUUUUUGGGGCUACACCCAUGGCAUAUUGCAAGUUCCCAGGCUAGAGGUCAAAUUGGAGCUGUAGCAGCCGGCCUACACCAUAGCCACAGCAAUGCAGGAUCCUUAACCCACUGAAUGAGGCUGGGGAUUGAACCUGCGUCCUCAUGGAUACUAGUUGGGUUCAUUACAGCUGAACCAUCACAGGAACUCCCCUAAACAAUCUUAUUAGACUUAUUAACUGUAAUAUCACAUCAACUCUUAUCAUCAAAAUGAUUGCAGUUUCAGAGUCACUGUUAACAGAAAAAGACUCCAACAAAAGUGACCACUGACCUUUAUAAGUAAGAUUUGAGAAGUGAAACUUUUAUUGAAAAAAGGAAUUUGCAGACCUGCUUCCCUGUUAAGUCAUUCUGAAGUUCUUACAGUAGAGUUGUGUCUACUUUUAAUAAGACAUAGGUGUCAUUAGCAUAUUUACCUGGACUGAAUGAAUGAGUAGAUUAUAUGUUUGGGAUUUGCAUUUCCUUCCUCUGCUCUAGCAGCUUCAGCACCAAAGUGUAGUUGUAAAAUGACACACUGUGGAAUUUGAAGUGGUGUAUGUGGCAGUCAGGGUCCUAGCAAGAGACAGAAUCUAACUCAGAAGGUUCAAGAGCCUUUAAUGAAGGGGAGAUGCAAGAAGUAUGGGUGGGGUUCAAGUCCCCGACAAAGAGUGUUGAGGUAUUCCAACUCAAGCCACAAGGGAGGCUGUUCUCAGCUGAGACCUAGAGCAGCUGUGGGUGGAAGGCAUGUUAAUGUCAUUCAGGGAGAGCAGGGGCCACGGGACAGAAGCUAGGGUCCUGUAGGAACAAGAGCACCAGCGUUGGGGGGGCGGGGCCGGUUACCCAGACCUCUCUUUCAAUCUUCUCAUCUCUAUUGUUCAAAUGCAGUCAGCCAGGAGGAGCUUGGGGAUUCAGCCCACAGCAGAGAAGCCUCCUGAGGUGUCGGAAGAGAGAAAAGCCUAGGAUGGAUCUUCUAGGGGAAGAGGGCCGAGCAGACAAUAACCAGCCCAGAUGGGAAAUGCUGUUGCAGAGCCCACAGCUGCCAAAAAAGAAAAGCUUAUUCAAGGAAUUCGGGGCCCUGACCUCUUUUGAUCUUGGGUUAGCAUCCACUCUCUGAAACUCUUUCAAAUAUACUUGCAAUCCCGCGGCAGCAGCCAGAAUUGCUGGUCACAUCAGCUUGUGCUAGUCUCGUCACUCUACAUGGUCUAGGUGCAAUUGUAGGGCCGAGAGAGCUGGUCCUGCAGCUCUCUGAUGGAGGAAGGUACAAAGAGAGAAAAAUAGGAAAACUAUUAAGAAUUUCUUCAAGAAGUAUAACUAAGGAGAGAAUAAUAGUGUAAGGAAACCUGGGGAAGCCAUGUGCAGGAAAAUGACCUGCAAAUGAUUUCAUAGCUAUUUGGCAGUACGCUGUCGCACACUCUCGCCAGCCCCCACCAGCUUCCAGAGCUCUCAGUGUGGAGGGCAGCAUUGGUGGGCUAUUUAUUAUAAAGAAUGAACCCCUAGAGAUGAUUAUUCUCAGUAUAAACAGUGACAUUACCCAUCUUAUAUAUAUAUCCCAACCAGAAGUUUGUGUUUAGAGUUACUGCUUCACCAGCUUGAAAGGGAAAACUGUUUUAGCAAGAAGGGGCAAAAGAGAGUUCCCAUCAUGGCUCAGAGGUGGUAAACCCAACUAGUAUCCAUGAGGAUGCAGGUUCGUACCCCGCCCCCCAGGCCCGCCACUCCCCCUCCACUCAGUGUGCCAAGGAUCAGCGUUGCUGUGAGCUGUGGUGUAGGUCACAGAUGUGGGCUCAGAUCUGGGGUGGCAGUGGCUGUGGCUUAGGCUGGCAGCUACAGCUCCAAUUCAACCCCUAGUCUAGAAAUCUCCACAUGCUGUGGGCACGGCCCUAAAAAGACAAAGAGGGGGGGGGGAGAGGGGCAAAAAGAUACCACUCUGUGAAAUGUAUAUCUAUGGAUUGUCAUCUGCUAUAUGACAAUAGCUUAAAGCCUGCCUUGGUCCACGUUCCACUAGCAGCUGUCAAGAAAUAAACAUCCGCAUCCCAGGCCUUCUUCCACGGCUCACACCUUUGUGCUUUCUGGGUCACUAUAACAAAAUGCCACAGACCAAGUGGCUUACAAACAACAGAAAUGUACUGCUCACAGUUCUCAGGCUGCAAGUCUGAGACCAGGGUGUCAGCAUGGUGGGGAGAGGGUGCUCUUCCCGGUCACAGACGUCUUGUUGUAUCCUCUCAGGGUGGAAGGGGCUAGGGAGCUCUGCCGGUGUCCUUUAUAAGAGCCCUAAUCUCAUUCAUGAGGGCUUCACCCUCCUGACCUCAUCACCUCCCCAGAGUCCUGCUACUAAUACCAUCACCUCUGGGCAUUAAGACUUCAGCAUGUGGGCAGUUCCCAUCAUGGCGCAGCAGAAACAAAUCUGACUAGGUACCAUGAGGUUGGGGGUUCCAUCCCUGGCCUCACUCAGUGUGUUAAGGAUCCGGCAUUGCCUUGAGCUGUGGUGUAGGUUGCAGACACGGCUUGGAUCCUGCAUUGCUGUGGUAUAGGCCGGCAGCAGUAGCUCUGAUUUAGACCCCUAGUCUGGGAACCUCCAUAUGCCACGGGUGUGGCCCUCAGAAAGACAAAAGACAAAGAUUUUAGCAUGUGAAUUUGUUGUGGGGAGUGGGAGAUACAGAGAUUCUGACCAUAGUAGUUUAUUCUAAUCUUGUGCUUCAGUUUCAUCAUACUUUUGCCUGGCAAAAUCCCAGCCCAGAAAAAAUCCAGCUCUCCAAAACCAUGCCUGGCCUCGAGAGCCAAAUGCGGCUGGAGAAAACAUACACUGAGGACUGGUUGCAUGUUACCUUACUUGAACCCUUUCUUUCCCUAGGAAUACCUCUGUUUUCCUGGUCCAUUCACUCUCCUCCUCUUGUAGACAAUGACUUUCAUACUCUCUCCUCAAACCCCAAACACUUCCCAUAUCCUAUCUCUGCUCUGAUAACCUGAUAACCUUUCUUCCUACUAUACUGCAGACAAACCCCAGAGGCCAUCAGAAGGGAAUCCACAAGCUCCCACCACAUCUUCUCACCUCCCAGAAUUGGUGCCCUAGGCUAUGCCUUCCUCCUGUUACCAAAGAGCUUCAAAGAAGAGCCUCUUCACAUGACACCUGCUUUUUCUCUUGCCUUCUAAGGGACCUUUUCUCAGCAAUUCUUCCUCUUUUCUCUUGUAUUGAUUUUUUUCUCUCCAUUGGAUCAUUCAAACACCAUAAAAACCUGCCAUAAUGUCCCAGUGUUAUAAAACAUAUCAUUGAUCCUGUGUCUUUCUUUAGUCACCCCCUCCCCAUUUUUCUAUCCUUUUCAACAAAGUUCCCUGGCAGAGCUGUCCCUGCCCCAUUGAUUAUGGUCAGACAAUGGCUAGAAACUGGCCACUGGGACAACUGCUCAGCCUCUCCUGGUUGCUGAAUUCAGUAGUGCAUGUCAGUCUUCCUCUUCUUUGGCCUGUUUGAUCAGCUACCCUUCCUUACAUGAUGUCCAGUUCUCUACACUUCUCCAGUUUUCCACAUACCUUAGAGGUUUUCCUUGUAAAAAGCUCGUUGCUGUUUUUGCUUGUCAGCCCAACUUCUUGCUGUUAGAAUGACCCAGAACCAGGCUUCAGCCCUUUGCAAACUUUUCCACCAUAAGCUCUCCUCAUCUCCACUCCAGGAACCCAAGCUCUUAUGCUGAAAAUUAAAAAGUCCAUAGGCUUUGUCGACCUUGGCCUGUGCUCUAGCUGCCCAGUGAGCCACUGGAAAAAUCAAUAUUUGAUGAAAAUUUGAAUAUAUUUACUCUUGUGGUUUUAAAUAAUAUCUGUAUGCUGAAAAUUUCCAAACUAAUCUCUCCUAUGCUAUGGACCUGUCUAUACAACUGCCUAAGUGAAGGCUCCACUUGAGUGCUUUACAGGCACUCAGAACUUUAUAGUUCCUUACCAGAACUGAAUGGAACACCUUUAAUUGGAUCAUCCUCCCAUCAUUACCACCUCAGGUGGUGACACCUCAUCCUUCAGCUGCUUAGGCUGAAAAAUACUGCAGUCUUCUUUGCUCCUGUCUUUCUUGCCCAAAGCCAAAUCAUCAGCAAAUCCUAACUAUCUCACGCCACCGUCACUGCUCCCUUCCUGGUCCGAGCCACCAUCCUCUCUCACCUGACUGAUGCAAAGGCCCCUCACUGGUCUGUCUGCCUCCCGCUUGUUCAUCUUCUCUCUCCCCAUCCCCCCCAGCAGUUUAUUUGCAGCACAUCAGAUCAUCUCUUGCCCUCCAGUGCCUCCCUGUUUCAUAAUGGCUUCUGAGGCUAUCCGUGAUCUGGUUCUCUAUAAUCCUUGACUUCCCUUGGGCAGAUGUUUCUGCUGUAACCGUCUGUGUGUGUCCUAUAAAACUUUGUGUUCUGUAAAAUGUACUCUUAAAAAAAAAAACAGGGCUUUUGGGAAAAGUAGGAUUAGAGCAGAUCUUUCCUAUUUCACACAACUUGAAAACCAUGCUAACCAGAGCCAUAAGGGAUAGUUCUGGGUCAGGGGAGCUGGGCAAGUGGGAGGGGGACAGUUUUGGGGGGGUGGUCAGAGCCUGGUGCAGGUGCUCAUCCUCUUAAAUGGACCUGAAAUCACUCCAGCCUGUGCUGAAGCCAAACUGAGGCCUUCCUCUUUCCCUGCCAAGAUUAGAAUUCUACCCCUGCUCUUCUGGCUCCUUUUGCCU